Molecule: ribosomal RNA, 500 nt
Filed under: uncultured bacterium
Lineage: Bacteria
Description: partial 16S ribosomal RNA
Rfam family: Bacterial small subunit ribosomal RNA
Source: RNAcentral
GACGAACGCUGGCGGCGUGCUUAACACAUGCAAGUCGAACGGGUCUGCCCUGUUUUUUGCGGGGUGGGUCAGUGGCGAACGGGUGAGUAACACGUGAGUAACCUGCCCCUCACUUCUGGAUAACCGCUUGAAAGGGUGGCUAAUACGGGGUGUUCUGGCUGUGCCGCAUGGUGUGGCUGGGAAAGAUUCACUUUUGUGGUGUUUUGGUGGGGGAUGGGCUCGCGGCCUAUCAGCUUGUUAGUGGGGUGAUGGCCUGCCAAGGCUUUGACGGGUAGCCGGCCUGAGAGGGUGGGCGGUCACACUGGGACUGAGAUACGGCCCAGACUCCUGCGGGAGGCAGCAGUGGGGGGUAUUGCACAAUGGGCGGAAGCCUGAUGCAGCGACGUCGCGUGAGGGAUGGAGGCCUUCGGGUUGUGAACCUCUUUCGCCGGUGAAGAAGGUCCUGCUCUUUGUGGUGGGGUUGACGGUAGCCGGGUUAUGAAGCGCCGGCUAACUACGUG